RNAcentral lists this long non-coding RNA (11232 nucleotides) under Glycine max (soybean). RNAcentral describes it as "long non-coding RNA (GMAX_LNC003108)". Lineage: Eukaryota; Viridiplantae; Streptophyta; Magnoliopsida; Fabales; Fabaceae. The record is from RNAcentral.
AAGAGGUUCAAGGAAGCAGUGUCAAGCAAAGGGUUAGAAGAUGAAGUAAAGGACAUGGAUUGGGAGAGCACCUUCUUUUUGCGCCAUCUCCCAACCUCCAACAUCUCAGAAAUCACUGAUCUCAGCCAAGAGUACCGGUAUGAAAGAUUGAAAACCAUAUGAUAACGUGAUUGAUACAUAGCAUUGUCUACACAUGACAUGGUCUAAACUAGAUGAGUUAAUGAUGCAGGGAUGCAAUGAAGGAAUUUGCACAGAAAUUGGAGAAACUAGCAGAGGAGUUGCUAGACCUGUUAUGUGAAAAUCUUGGAUUAGAGAAAGGGUACUUGAAGAAUGCAUUUUAUGGAUCAAGGGGUCCAAAUUUUGGGACAAAGGUAGCAAACUACCCUGCAUGCCCAAAGCCAGAGUUGGUGAAGGGUCUUCGUGCACAUACGGAUGCGGGUGGGAUUAUCCUUCUCUUGCAAGAUGACAAGGUCAGUGGCCUUCAGCUUCUCAAAAAUGGCCAAUGGGUGGAUGUGCCUCCAAUGCGCCAUUCCAUUGUUGUUAACCUUGGUGACCAAAUUGAGGUAUGUACCUUUUUCUUUCAAUAAUGGUUAUGUCCCUAAAGCAUAACACAGUACUUAUAGUAAUUGUCGUUCAACAUUUUGGUCUAAUAUCAUAGGUCAUCACCAAUGGGAGAUACAAGAGUGUGGAGCAUCGUGUGAUUGCCCAAACGAAUGGGACCAGAAUGUCCGUAGCCUCAUUCUACAACCCUGCCAGUGAUGCUCUUAUCUACCCUGCACCAGUAUUGUUGGAGCAAAAGGCAGAGGAUACAGAACAAGUGUAUCCAAAAUUUGUAUUUGAGGAUUACAUGAAGCUCUAUGCUACACUCAAGUUCCAGCCUAAGGAGCCCAGAUUUGAAGCCAUGAAGGCUGUUGGCUCAUUUUAGAUUACUUCCAAUUACGACUGCUCAAUUGCAAGAAGAAAUUUUAUUAAUUGAGAAAAUAUGAAAAGAAUUAAGAAAUAGAAAUUAAGCUUGGAAAUGUUUAUUUAUUGAUACAAUUUGUUGUUUACAGUGGUUGAUUUGAUUUGCUUGUAUUUUGAUAAAGGAAAAUAACCAAAUUAUUCAAAUAAUAUGCAAUUUUACUGUUCUUUCUCUCCUAUCUUGACCUCUUAAUAUUUCCAAUAAUUUUUAUUAUUUCCUUUUUGGGGGAAAUUUUUUCAAUGGUUUGGGGUCUUCAUGACUAUUUUUCUUUUUACAUUAUUAGUUACUCAUGGAUGACAAGUGAGAGUUGGAUUAUUGUUAUUUUGAUAUCUGAAUGGACUUUUACGCAUACACCAUCAGCUAUUAUACACACGCUGAAUUAUCUUUGUGUACCGUUAACUGGCACGUAAAUAGAUAGUAUAUCAUGUAUUUUAAUUCAAGUCUUUUAAUGAUAGGAAUAGAAUGACAGACAAAUAAUACUUUUAAGGUUUUUUUUUAAAAAAAUUUAAUACUUUCAUAAAAACUUAAAGUGGCAAUCAAUUACACUCUCGAGAAUCAAAUUCUCCAUUCACCCAUUUAUUUUUAAAAAAGUUGAGGAUGAAUAACAUCAACAUUAUUAUAUUGAAGGGUUUUAAUUGAGAUAGAGAGUUUUAAUUGGACGAGCAGGAAAUAAGACAUUGUGAGACGGAUGAUUUCAGUCAUUUGCAAAAUCACUUAAAUGAUGUCCAUUUCUCUCAUGGAGGAGGAUUAGAACAUCUUAAUAAACACCAUUUAAAAUCAAAGUGUUUUUCAGUAUUGCGGACAUUCUUCCCCAAUGAAAAAUAAAACCAACAAAUUCAUAAAAAAUAAGUUUUUUCCUUUUUGUUUCUAUACAUUUUGCAAAAAAGUUGAAGGUUACUUAUCUACCCGUUGUUUAUUUCUAAUUUUUAUAAAAAUAGAGAGGAAGGAAAUUGAAAUAAAAUCAGAUACAAAUAUCAAUUUUUCAUUAUUUAUUUGAAAGAAAAAAUAGAAAUGACGAGUUUUUAUGGCAAGAAUCUCCCUCAAAUUGGCAUGAACUAAUAAAUUUUUAUGUUAAGAUAAAAAAAUUGUUGAUUAAAAAGUUUCUUUUAACAUAUAGUAUUCAUUCUCACCUUAUGAUAUAUGAAUAACUCAAGACCAUAUCAUUGGAUCGAUAAAAAUAUUUUUUAUUAUCAUGAUUCAUUCUUAGUCAUAUGUUUAGAUAUACGAUAUAUUAAGUUUUAAAUGUUAUUCCAUAAAAUUAUAAAAAAAAUUUAUUUAGACUCACAUUUACAAUUUGCGUAUAAUUUUAUUUAUUGAGAUUUUACCAAAUUUCACUGCAUGAUGCCCAUUUGAAAGAAAGAAGAAAUCUAACUUUGACAAGUGUCAAGAGCAGCCACCAGCAAUGGCAUGAACCUGACAUGUCUAGUGUUUUUUUUUUUUAAUUAAAAGUUACUUUCGAAUUAAAAUUAUAAAUAAUAAGUUUAAAACUAAAGUAGAAUUUGCAGACAAUUUUCAUCUUUUUAAUUUAAAAGAAAUGUCUUAAACAAAGUAGAGAAAAAAUAAAAGAAAAAAGAGAAAACGAUUUUUUAUUUUAAAAAAUAUUUUUUUCUUUCCUUAAUAGAAAUUAAGUUACUAACUUUUAAGAUUUUUCAGCAAAUAUAUUUAACUUAAUUUCUCUUUUAAAAAUUAAAAAAUAAACUGACUGGAGCGCCACUUAGAUGGCACUGUAUAACAAGAACCUGAGACUAUUUUGGUCCACAUAUUCUGCUUUCACUUCCUUUUCUAACAUUCCUAUGGUUUGUUUCCACACGUGACAAAAAUAACGUACAAAGUACGUAUGCCCGUGAUAGCCUCCAGUUCCCCAUAGUUAAAAGACAAUAUUCGAUUUAUAUUUGGACUUAAAGAGUCUUAAUUCAAUUUUUUUGUGCUGAGAAAAAACUAUGAUAAAGAUAAAGAUGAAGAGACCCCGAUGGACAGGAUAUAUAUUCUGACUAAAAGUUUUCCAGAUGGGGUCUUAAAAACUUAUUUAAGAAUUAUCCUAUCAGUUAGACGCCACAGCUUAAUACCUUAUUUAACUUAUCUUUAUUUUGGUGGCUCCUAUUAGUAUUAUUAGUCAAGUGGUGAAAGGAUCCAAAAGAGAAAGACAACUAGUUUAGGCAGAGAUAUAUCUUUGUUUCCUUUUAAAAUUUGUAUCAAUAUCUGUUUUUCAGCAAAGAAAUUGUCCAGUGAUAAUUUUCAACUAAUGGGGUCCAAUUACAUUGUUAAUGUUCAAUUACAUCUUAGAACCUAAGCCUAAAACAAUGUGAUUUUCUUUUUUCUUUUGGUGAAUUAUGAAAUUUUUCUUUUUUUAUUGAGACUUCUAACUUGGACUUUUUUUUUUUUACCAAAGUAGGUGAAGACAAAAAAUAAUUAACUGAAAAGAUUCUUUUUUUAUCCUGGAUUGUCCUAUGAUGGUGUAAUUUUUUUUUUUUUUACAUUUAUAUGUAAGAUCCAUGUAAAAAGUUAAAAAUAACUACUACUUGAAGGCAUCACUCAGUAAUUUUUUCCGCUACAAGGCAAACACACGUCAGAAAACAAUUCCUAUAAAUUGUUCUCAUACUAUUUGAAUAAAUAAUUUCCAAAAACUACCUUAGUGAAAAAGUCUUGUAGGCUAUGUUGUAAUCAAUUUUAGAUGGAGGUAGAUUUUGAGUGUACCAAAUAAAAUAAUCGGAUGGCAAAUCUAUUGUUACACAAGUACUGUUAGAUGUUUGAAUAAGCAGUUCACACGGUUUUUUAAAUCGUUCAUUAAUAACAUAAAUGCUGUUAAAACCUUAGAACUUCAUUUGCUUAUGCCACCUUCUAAGAAACCACAUGCUUAAAUGCCUUAGUACAAUUUAAGGGAAGAUGCAAGGAAGGUUGGUUUCGCCUCCAGAUGAGUCAAACGGUACCAGAAUAUAGAAUUCAAGGAUGCAAAAUGAUCUCGUGGCAUAGAUUGGCUUAACAAAGUAAGUAAGCAUGCAUCUCAUGAUUCAUCAUGAAUCACAUGGGAGAAUUUCACUUGUCCUCACUACACACUCUUUUGCAUUCCUAUAAAUGGCACACACCUAGCAUCCCAAUAUGCAUCAACAAAACACAUUAACAUUUCUCAGAAGAAAAAAAAGUGAGAGAUGGAGAACUUUCCCGUGAUCAACUUGGAGAAUCUCAACGGUGAGGAGAGGAAGGCUACCCUUAACCAGAUUGAAGAUGCUUGCCAGAACUGGGGAUUUUUUGAGGUACCCCACGAACCUGAUCAAAAGGCUUUGUUAUAUUAUAUAUAUAUAUAUAUAUAUAUAUAUAUAUAUAUAUCAUUUGCAAGUGUACAUCCCAAAAUUUUCUUCAUGUUGUUCAUUUGAACUAUAUUAAUUAUGUUGCUAUAUAUCCCGAAUUGUAGUUGGUGAGUCAUGGAAUACCCCUUGAACUAUUGGAUACUGUGGAAAGGUUAACAAAAGAGCAUUAUAGGAAAUGCAUGGAGAAGAGGUUCAAGGAGGCAGUGUCAAGCAAAGGGUUAGAAGCUGAAGUGAAGGACAUGGAUUGGGAAAGCACGUUCUUCUUGCGCCAUCUCCCAACCUCCAACAUCUCCGAAAUCCCAGAUCUCAGCCAAGAGUAUAGGUAAAAACAAAUUAAAAACUAAGAAAUACAUUUACAUGAAUAAUGAAAUAUUGUUGAUGGCAUAUUGGCAUAUAUAUUAUAUAAUUAUGUUUUCAUUACCAAUACUCCAACAGUAACAAAACAAUGCUGCAUUAAUUAACUGUGUGAUUUGUGUGACAAAUUUGAUAAUGUGAUGCAUAUCUACACAUGACAUGGUCUGAACUGUGAGUUAAUGAUGCAGGGAUGCAAUGAAGGAAUUUGCACAGAAAUUGGAGAAACUAGCAGAGGAGUUGCUAGACCUGUUAUGUGAAAAUCUUGGAUUAGAAAAAGGGUACUUGAAAAAUGCAUUUUAUGGAUCAAGAGGUCCAAAUUUUGGGACAAAGGUAGCAAACUACCCUGCAUGCCCAAAGCCAGAGUUGGUGAAGGGUCUUCGUGCACAUACGGAUGCGGGUGGGAUUAUCCUUCUCUUGCAAGAUGACAAGGUCAGUGGCCUUCAGCUUCUCAAAAAUGGCCAAUGGGUGGAUGUGCCUCCAAUGCGCCAUUCCAUUGUUGUUAACCUUGGUGACCAAAUUGAGGUAUGUACCUUUUUCUUUCAAUAAUGGUUAUGUCCCUAAAGCAUAACACAGUACUUAUAGUAUUGUCGUUCAACAUUUUGGUCUAAUAUCAUAGGUCAUUACCAAUGGGAGAUACAAGAGUGUGGAGCAUCGUGUGAUUGCCCAAACGAAUGGGACCAGAAUGUCCGUAGCCUCAUUCUACAACCCUGCCAGUGAUGCUCUUAUCUACCCUGCACCAGUAUUGUUGGAGCAAAAGGCAGAGGAUACAGAACAAGUGUAUCCAAAAUUUGUAUUUGAGGAUUACAUGAAGCUCUAUGCUACACUCAAGUUCCAGCCUAAGGAGCCCAGAUUCGAAGCCAUGAAGGCCAUUGGCUCAUUUUAGAUUACUUCCUAUUGCAGUUGCAUGAAGAAACUUUAUUAACUGAUAAAAUUUGAAAGAAAUAUCAAUUAAGCUUGUUUAUUUAAUAUGCAAUUUCUUGUUACAGCGGGUGAUUUGAUUACUUGUAUUUCGGUAAAGGAAAUAGCCAAAAUUAUUCAAAUAAUAUGCCUUUUUUCUGCUGUUCUUUCUCUACUAUCUUCUUUGGGUCUAAAUCGAGCAUAUUUCCAUUUUUUUUUUGUAAGGAAAUUAAAUGUUAAGGAUUCUCUAGACAGUUCUUGUCAAAAUGAGACUUCUUCGUUAAUAAAAUCUUUCAAUUCGUUUUAUUUCAAUAAUUAAUAUGCCACUGUAUAACUAGAACAUGACGCUAUAGUUUUAUCUAAUUUUUUAGUUUAAUUACACACUUUUCCUCGUUACUUUAACAAUUUUGCAAAAUUCGUCACAGUAAUAUAACAUUGACUCCUGACGCGAUAGUUUUAUCUAGCACUGGCAUGAGAAUGACAUGCUGAUAGUCUAGCCAAUUUCGGGUUACAGCCACGGGGUAAUGGUACAAGCUUUUGAUUGUGUCUUAGUUUAUUUCCUGGGGCUUUGCCCUUUCAGUUCAACAAAAUAAAUAAAUGCAAUUAGAGGCAAAUUGCACAAAAUUUUGAAAUUGAAGAGGCAAAUUGUACAAAAGUUAAUAAAUGAUAAAAUUGUUAGUGGUGAGAUUAAUUUUCAUAUUUUAUUACUUUUCCUGUUUCAUUAUAAUUAUUGUAUAAAAGAAAAAAAUUAUCUUAAAAUAAUUAUCAUUUUAAUUUUUUGUUAAUGUAUUAUUAAUUUUUUUUACUUAUAUUUCUUGUAAUAUUAAUAAUGAAAAACAAAAAUUACAAAUAAAUUAAUGAUUAUAUAUAAUUAAUUUUAUAAAAUUAUUAUGCUCUUUUAUUUAUUAAUUAUUUUUUCUUAAUUCAUGUAAAAUAAUCUAAAAUGACAAUUAUAAUAACACAGAAAAUAUUAUCAUAAUCACUAAAUUACUGUAUUUGACAUGUUUAAUUUAAUUCAUAAAUAAAAAUGUUGUAUCUAUUCUAUUCGUCUCCAAAGUAUAACCAUUGGGGAAUUUAUUUUUUAUCUAAUAUAAUUUUUAUUAUUUAGUUAAAAUUAAAAAUAAUAUAACUGUUAAAAAAUCAAUCAUAAAAAGUAUUUAAAAUAAUACGUUCUUAUAAAAAAAUUGAAAUUAAAAUACCCGUCCCUCUAACCACUUAUUUUUUAUUAAAUAAAUAUUUUUUAGCACAAUCAAAUGGCCAUAUUUAUUGUAUGAAAAGUAUUAUUGUAAAAAAUAGUUUAUAUUUAACAAAUUAUACAAAAAUAAUAUAUAAAUUAUAUAAAAAAUUAAUAUAUAAAAUAUACCAUUAUCUUUUAUUAUUCAAAGUGGACUAUGAUAAAUAAGUUAUACUCUUAAAAAAAAUUGUAUUGAGGAAUCUAUCUUCAAUGUAAUAAGCAAUGUCACAAUGAAUUGUUAUUUUGACAAAAGGAAAAUCAUAUCAUUAUCAUUCAUAACAUUUGAGAAAUACAAAAGGGAAUGCAAUCAAGAUCAUCGAUGUUAGCAUUGAACCUUGAUGUUCUUCUAAGGUUAUAAGCAACAAGAUUGACUCAUCUCCUAGCAUAACUCGCCCUAGAGUUUGGAAUAGGAGAUAACAAUUGCCUACAGUUUGAUGGUAUCCAAUGAUAAGGGUUGAGUCCAGUUGCAACAGUUGUGAUGAUGUGAGUAAUCAAUUUGCAGUUAGUCUCAAAAACAAUAUUUUGGAGAUGCACUUCAGUAAUCAAUUGGAGGGUUUUGUAGAGACCAAACACUUCAACUUCUACAGGUUUCAGCAGCCCAUUGAAAUAGCAUGUUCGAGCUUUUAUGAAGAGACAAUUGGUGUGUCUCGUAGGCACAUGCCAAUGCCAAAACGCUUUUGUGUCCAGAUUGCAUUUCGUGUAUCCUUGCUCUGGUUUUUGCCAUUUCAUUUGGUUUUGCUAGAUAUUGCAUGAAGAGAUGAAUUGCAGUAGUUAGUUGAGUUUUAGAGUUCUCCCAAACUUUCUGGUUUCUAGCUUUCCAAAUGCUCCAAAGAGUUACAACUAGCCUGUUUUUUUGUUGCAGAGGAAGAGUAUGGAGAAGGUGGAACAUAAGAUGCUGGAAACCAUAUCCGAGGAGUUUAUUAUAGCUUCUAUAGAGUUCUAGAGGCCAGCAUGUUGCCAAAACUUGCUCUUGAGCUUUGGGACAAGACAUGAAGAGGUGCCACUCAUUCUCGAAAUGCGUAGAACAAAACCAACACUAGAGGCUUCGUCUGAUUGGACCCAAUAAUCAAAGAAAAAAAAAAAGGAGAAAGAUAAGACUAAAUUCUCUUUAUUUUCUUUCAUUUAUUUCUGAUGAAAAUGAGAGCAAAAUUGGGUGAUGUGGGCCCUAUUUUAAAAUUUAUUUUCACCAGAAAAAAAAACUCAAAUUUAUAUAUGAAAAGAUAAAAAGAUUCUCAAUCUAAUUAUUAAAUCUUUUUUAUAUUCUUUUUGUUAUUUAUUGUUGUUGUUUUUAUGUUAGAGGUGUUUUUAUUUAUCUGUUUGAGGUAUUUUUUUUCCUUCUCUUAUUUUUACUUUGCAAUUAUUUUUCCCCCCUCUUUUGUAUGUUCUUCUCCUUCCUCAUUUGCUCAUUCUCUUCUUCACGUUUUUUUAACGUUUUUUUUUCCUUCUUCGUUUUGCUAUUAAUUUGUCGUGAUGUUUCUUGUAUUUUUUUUCUUUUCUCAUUAUUUCAUCACUUGCAAUGUUUGCUAAUUUACUAUGAGCAUCCUGAUGGUGUUCGAAGGGUUGCGAUGCUUAAUUUUAUAAUUAUUUAAUCUUUUUUCUAAUUUUUUUAUUUAAGUUUAUAAAAAUAUAUUAAUAUAUUCAAAAUUUGUUAAUUCAUUUUUUAACUUUGUUUGUAAAUAAUUUUAUUUAAGGGUAUGCAUGUCUUUUUAUAAAUUUAUAUUUUUCUUUCUUCUCAUUUUUUAUACAAUCUAACAAAGGAAAAGAAAAUUCAUUUUAUCUUAAUUUCUUUUGAUUUUCUCUUAUAACAAACAAUAAAAAAAUCACCUCAUUUUUUUUUUAUUUCCUGUCUUUUUCUUUUCUUUCACUUUUCUUUAUUUUUAAUUUCUUUUGUAAACCAAAAAAAGAGUAAGAUUGACCAGCAUAAUUUUAAAUUAUGUCACCUAUGUUACAGUUUACUCCAUAGUUUAUUUGAGCAUUGAUUGUUAUAAUUUAUUUAAUUAUAUAAGUUUUAUAAUUAUAAAAUUUAAUAAAUAAAAUUGUAUAAAACAUAAACUUGUUUAAUUAAAAUAAAAAUCUUUAUUAAAUAAAUUUAUCGUCUUAAAUUUUAAUUUUUUUUCAUACAAUAAAUAUAGGGUUUGUGCUUUAAAAAAAAUUAUUUUAAGUGGGACAUCAUUAUAAUUUUAAUUUUUGUUAUAAGUAUAUAUUAUUAUAAAUUAUUUUUAUAACUGAUUUUUUUAAAUAAGUUAUAUUUUUAAUUAAAAUAAUAAAAUUCUAAUAGGAAAAAUUAAAUUCUCACAAUAGUUAUUACUUUGGGACCAAAUCUGCAAUUAACAAAUACGGCUAUAGUAUUCAUAAAAUAAUUUUUAUUUAGAACUAAAAAAAGUCAAGUGACUUAUUAUCUGAAGUGAUAGAGGAAUAGGAAAAGAGUAUGGAUUUUAAUUCUAUUCUGAACAUUUAUUAUUUUAAACGUUUAUAAUUUUCACAGAUUUAAUUUCUUAACUUUAAAUAUUUUCACACAUUUUAGUGUUUAAAAUUCUGUACAUUUUUUCCGAACUGUAGAUCGGCACAAUAAUGCCAUUUCAACGAUCCCUAUUAGUGUCAUGUGUAUUAUCAUGUUAAUAUCAAAGUAUAACGUCAAUAAUAAGUACCAUCACAUUAUUAGUCAAUUAACGAUAAUGACCAUUAACCGCCAUUACCCAUUGUUGGUNNNNNNNNNNNNNNNNNNNNNNNNNNNNNNNNNNNNNNNNNNNNNNNNNNNNNNNNNNNNNNNNNNNNNNNNNNNNNNNNNNNNNNNNNNNNNNNNNNNNCUUGGAAAAAUGGGAGAACUGAAAAGUCGUAAUCAGUUAGGACGCCAACAACUUAUCUUUUGUUUGGUGUCUCGUAUUGGGCAAGUGGUUAAGGAAAGGAAAGGAAAAGACAACUAGUACAGACAGAUAGUGAUAUAUCUUGUUUCCUUUUUAAUUAAAUUUGUAUCAAUAAUUAUUUUAAAAAAGACAUUGUCCGGCUAUAAUUAAUUUUCAAUUAAUGGCGUCUAAUUACUAAACAUGUGUUUGAAAACAUGUUGGGAAGUAAGAAAUUAUGUUUGAAUUUUGAAAUAUAGAAUGCAAUAAGUCAAUAAUUGCAAGCUUCUUAAUAAACAUGAAAGACUUUGGUUUUUAAAAAAAAACAUGAAACACUACAUCUAAAAUAUAAAUCCAAUCACGCUAUAGAAACCGUUGAAGUUCAAAACAAUUAAUAUGAAAAAUUUCUUAUGCUUGAAAAUUAUAAGCUAUGGGUGCUAAUCAAUUUUAGGAGGUAAAUUUUGCGGGUACCGAAUACAAUAACAGCAAGGCAGAUCUAUUGUCACUUAAUAAUUUGUUACAUGCCAGAAUAACAGAAUAAGGAGUUCACAAGCUUUCGUAAUAAAUAAAAGAUAAAUUCUAAUUAGUGCCUAAAGAAAUUAGUUAAGAAAUUUAAAAAUAAAAAUAUUUUUAUUGAGAGACGAAAAAUUAUAUUAUUUAUUAUUUUUUACGUUGUUCUAUAAUUUACAUAAUAAAUAUAUUUUUUUAAUUUCUUAAUUAAUAUCUUGAAUAUUAAUUAGCAAGAUCCUAAAUACAGAAAAUAAUUUUAGAACUUCAUUUGAUGGUGCUACCUUCUAAGAAACCACGUGCUGAAACAUCAUAGUACUACAAUUUAAGGGAAAAUGCAAGGAAGGUUGGGUUCGCCUCCAUGAGAUGAGUCCACCGAUACCAAAGUAGACAAUUCAACUACGUAAGUACGCAUGCAUCUCAUGAUUCAUGAGAUACACAGGAGAAUUUUUAAUUUGUCAUGUUGUCUUCACUGAACUCUUUGCAUUCCUAUAAAUGGCACACACCUAGCAUCCUAAUAUGCACCAACAAACACAUUAAGUAUUCUCAUAAGAACAAAGGAAAGACAAAGAGAGAGAGAUGGAGAACUUUCCCGUGAUCAACUUGGAGAAUCUCAACGGUGAGGCGAGGAAAGCUACCCUGCACCAGAUUGAAGAUGCUUGCCAGAACUGGGGAUUUUUUGAGGUACCCCACAACCACAAACUUGCUGACAAAAGCUCUGUCAUACUCACUCAAAUUUAUAUCUAUACAUUUGAAACAUUAAGUUUUCUUAAUCUUGUUCAUUUAAAUUAUAUAUGUUAAUUGUGCUGCUUUCCUGAUUGUAGUUGGUGAAUCAUGGAAUACCCCUUGAACUUUUGGAUACGGUGGAAAGGUUAACAAAAGAGCAUUAUAGGAAAUGCAUGGAGAAGAGGUUCAAGGAGGCAGUGUCAAGCAAAGGGUUAGAAGAUGAAGUAAAGGACAUGGAUUGGGAGAGCACCUUCUUUUUGCGCCAUCUCCCAACCUCCAACAUCUCAGAAAUCCCUGAUCUCAGCCAAGAGUACCGGUAUGAGAAAUUGAAAACCAUAUGAUAACGUGAUUGAUACAUAGCAUUGUCUACACAUGACAUGAUCUAAACUAGAUGAGUUAAUGAUGCAG